Molecule: ribosomal RNA, 460 nt
Filed under: uncultured bacterium
Lineage: Bacteria
Description: partial 16S ribosomal RNA
Rfam family: Bacterial small subunit ribosomal RNA
Source: RNAcentral
CCCACGGGAGGCAGCAGUGAGGAAUAUUGGUCAAUGGACGAGAGUCUGAACCAGCCAAGUAGCGUGAAGGAUGACUGCCCUAUGGGUUGUAAACUUCUUUUAUAUGGGAAUAAAACGUUCCACGUGUGGGAUUUUGUAUGUACCAUAUGAAUAAGGAUCGGCUAACUCCGUGCCAGCAGCCGCGGUAAUACGGAGGAUCCGAGCGUUAUCCGGAUUUAUUGGGUUUAAAGGGAGCGUAGGUGGAUUGUUAAGUCAGUUGUUAAAGUUUGCGGCUCAACCGUAAAAUUGCAGUUGAAACUGGCAGUCUUGAGUACAGUAGAGGUGGGCGGAAUUCGUGGUGUAGCGGUGAAAUGCUUAGAUAUCACGAAGAACUCCGAUUGCGAAGGCAGCUCACUGGACUUCAACUGACACUGAGGCUCGAAAGUGUGGGUAUCAAACAGGAUUAGAUACCCCUGUAGUC